UUCCAUACGAAAACCAUUAUCCAAUAAAAUGAUGCAAAAUGUUCCUAAAUAAUUCAAUUAAUUAUAGAUUAUGACAAAAAUACUCAAUACAUAAAGUUACCCUGUACCACAAACCCUAAACUCUAUUUACAUUUAUGUUUACCUUUCAUUUAUUUUAGUAACCGGGUGAGAUUAGUAAAAUAACUAAGGAAAAAAAAUAGAAGGUGGGACAUUUGAGUUUUCAUUUAUCGAAGACGGGGAGGAGAAAACAAAAUAGGCGUAUUUCAAGAAAAAAAAUAGAAGAUAAAAUCUAGCCUACAUCCUAUUGAAAAAACCCUAGCUAGCCUACAUUUUUCUCACUUUUCUCUCUCUCAGACCCUCACGGCGUUCUCCUCUCCUAAAGCUCCAUCUAUCAUCUAUGUCCUCUAUGGAUCUCAAUCUUUGAAGCUCUUAUCCCUAUCAUCCCUAUCAGUAAGACAAGAUUGAUCUUUCUUCUUCCUAUAUCAUUCUUUUAGAGCUAGUCCACCUAUUGGGAAGGCCUGAGUCAUAGGUGUGACUUGAGUCGCCACGUGGCAGUAAAACUAGAGGUCAGUUUCCACCCACGAUUUUGGUUUCUGGGUCGCCACGUGACUGUGACUGUUUAUUAAAUUUUAUAUUAGGUAUUUAAGUAUAAAUAAUGAUCUUAUUAUGUUAAUAAAAUAAAUUAUAUGAUACACUGAAAUUUAAAUUUUGUAUUCAUAAUUUCCUUAUUUCAUAAUUUCCUAAUCAAAAUAUAAUAAUUUAAGAUUUCCUAUUUAAAAACACACAAACAAAUACAACAAUUUAAAUAUCCUAAUUAAAAACACACAAACAUAUUUCCAUGUUUUACUAACAAAACAUAAAUGAAACAUCAUCGACAUUUCAUUUCACAUGGCACACAGUCAUGUCUGCCUCUCGACUACGCCAUAGACGGCUACACACACCACGAGUGUACACAACCAGCACCCUAGCGUGCAAUCUCAGGUUAUACACACAACAGGUGUAAACAACCAGCACUCAAACGUGCAACCUCAGGCUACACACACCACGAGUGUACACAGCCAGCACCCUAGCGUGCAAUCUUAGGUUAUACACACAACAUGUGUAAACAACCAGCACUCAAACGUGCAAUCUCAGGCUACACACACCACGAGUGUACACAGCCAGCACUCCAACAUGCAAAUCUUUGGCUACACACACCACGAGUGUACACAGCCAGCAUAUAAACAUGUAAUCUCAAGCUACACACGCCACGCGCAUAUACAACAACUUCACCUCGAGGCAAGGUACCUCAUCAUGAUCUUUCAUGGCACCACUCCUGCCAUGAUAACUUCUCAUGGCACCACUCUAUCAGAUCUAUAUAGUACCACUAGAAUAUUUCAACAAGAUCCUCCAGUACAGUCACGACAUGUUAUCAAAGUUACACUUGUCAGCUACUCCAUGUAGCCACUCUCUGAGAUCGCCCUCCAUGAUAGACGACUUUACUCUUCAUGGUCUCUCCAUGGUCUCCUCAUGGUUUCUCUUUAGUUUUUUUUUGUUUUAUUUUAUUUUCUUUUUUCUCUAUACAUAGCAUGAUCUCUAUGAUCUCUCCACCGCUACUCCGGCCUUAUGGUUACAUGUCGGUUGCAAACAUAUGGAUAUUCACCAUGGCCGCUUCCCAUGGUUCUUCUAUCCUCAUGACUUUGUGCUCUCUUGGUUACGUUAAGGUCUUUGAUUACUCUGCCAUCAUCCUCCAUGGUGACAAUUUACGGUCACGCCACGCGGUUACGCCACACGAUCACGCCUCAUAGCCUAAUGGCUAAACCUACUAGCUAUACCUAAUGGCUAAACCUCAUAGCCACACCUCUCGCUACACUAUUUAUGAUCAGCCCCUUUAUGAUUGCUCCCCAAAAUUUCUCUCCACAAUUGCUUCUCCAAAGUGUGAGGUUCUGACACCUCGUUACUACUAGUGCACAAGGUUGCAACACCUAUCAACAUAAUAUCACCAUAGAUAAGCCAACUGUGGCAAGUACGAUCCCAGGCACAUGGCGUCCCUUUGCCAACCGUGCCAACACACUCCCCGAGCACCCGGCAUCUAUCAUCUAUCAACUACCCGGGACGAGUCUACAAACACUCCCCGGCGCGUGACACCUACAAGUCACCAAAGUGCUUAAGGCACUUCCCGACACAUGACAUUCCUCACCUCUCGAACAUGCCAUCCGAAAUCCCCCAUGCCAAAUCAAUCCUCGUUUCGGUGCCCAGCCACCAUAAUCUCCCCUGGCACUGGGGGACUUGGGCAACAACUUUAUAUGCCGACAUUUGCCAUGCCUUCUUGAUACUCGGCAUGGCUCCUCGGUACCCUGGCCUCAUCAUAACGACUCACCACGACACAGUGAAACUCUCCCUGCCUCAUCAGACACCCUUACCACGUCUUAUGGCGUGAUCUCGGAACACUUUGGCAACACUCGCCUUACCCCAUCGACAUCUUGGCCACGCUUCCUAGCGUGCUCUCACUACGCCAUAGCGAUCGUCACCCCUUCCUCGAUAGCUCUUUACAUGCCCUAUCGGCACCAUCACUAUGCCCUAGUGGCACCUCUCGCCAUGCCUCAGCGGCAAUUCCUCUUUGCCUCAAUGGCACCCUGGCCGGGCCCAGCGGCACCCAUCGCCAUGCCCCAGCAACACUCCUCACCACACCUCGAUGGCACACUUGCCUCAAUAGCGAAAUGGUGAACUACGUUUGGUUUGAUCCCACAAACGGGUACGUAGGCACUCUAGCACUCGCCGAGAGGCAACCACUAAAUAUUUCACAUCAAUCUCCCCUUGGAGCACAUACAUGUUGGAAUAGCUCAGCUAGCUAGAGCAUAUAGCCGAUACAAAUCGAAGGCUACUAAACGCCUAAGGCAUACAAACAUGCCGGUACCCGCUACCCACGCGAGAUGCUCACCAGAGUUCCCACACCUGGCACCAAGAGGUACCUAAACUUUGACCCCCGAUCGCCCUGCAAUCUCCCGACACUUCACGGGAGCAACGAUCCCGAUGUCUCACACGUGUAUCUCCGAGCAAGAUAUCAUGACAUCAUGAUUUCUCAUAACGUGACAGAGCUAUAGCAGCACACGACACCCCACUUAGAGGGAGCCGGUCCAUCCCCUCCCUUGCAUGGGGACUUGGGGGACUGGGGACUGGUUAUGUCGCCACUAGUAAGGCUCGUACUCCUGAUACUCCAUCAGAUAAAGUCCCCACCCAAGAGAGCCUCUUGACCGCGGACUUGGGGACUUGUUAAUACAUCAUAUUUGAGAGAUAGAACAUCGGUCUUACUCAUCUAAGAAGACACAUAUUGCCACAUAAAAUGGGUGUGGGCCUUAACUAGGCCCAAGAAACCUACACUCUCCCUUGAGGGCAUAAUAGUAAUACACUCUCCAGUAAGGGCAAAAUAGUACUUUUAGGAUGCAAUCACCCUAUCUCUAUAAAUCACUACGCCAGAUAAUGCAUCACACGACGGGGAAAAAACGUCGUCUGUUAAAGGUCAAAUCCGUUGUUAAUCCGAUCACUGUCUGAUCAACAUAUCACACAACAGGUAAAAAGAGCUUGUCUGACAGACUGACACACAACGCUACAAUAAAAACCAUUGUGUGAUUCUCUGCAGAUAUCAUCGACAGCUGCCGACACAUGUCGAGCUGCUUCUUGGCAACUAUCGACAUAUGUCGAUGAAAUAUGCCGAAAGUCAGACAAUAGUUUUAUGUAAAAUGAUGUUGUGUGAGCCUCGGCAGAUAUUAUCGACACAUGCCGACACAUGCCGAGCUGCUUCUCGGCAGCUGUCGACAUAUGUCGAUGAUAUAUGUCGAAAAUCAUACAACAAUUUUUCAAUGAAAACCCUUGUGUGAGUUGACAAUCACACAACUGUUCCUUUUAAGAGCUGUUAUGUGAAUAUCGACAGAUCUCAUCAAGAUAUGUCGACAUAUGUCGAGGUCGCUCUCGAUAAUAUAUGUCAACAUUCACCCAACAGCUUUCGACAUGAAAACUAUUGUGUGAGGUGAUGUUCAUACAACAGAUUUUCUCGAUUGCAUGGUUGUUUGAUUGUUAAAGAGUAGACAUGAUUUUUGUUAAUAGGCAUUGCGUGAAUAGAUACUCACACAACGUUACAUUAUAAAAUAAUUGGUUGUAUAAUCAUUUUCAUUAGACAACAUUGGAUUGUCAUUAAUGUGUUGUAUGUCCUACUAAUUUACCAAAUAAACAAUAGCAACU
RNAcentral lists this long non-coding RNA (4218 nucleotides) under Fragaria vesca (wild strawberry). Its description in RNAcentral is "long non-coding RNA (FVES_LNC001850)". Lineage: Eukaryota; Viridiplantae; Streptophyta; Magnoliopsida; Rosales; Rosaceae. The record is from RNAcentral.